This is a small RNA of Saccharomonospora marina, 210 nucleotides long. It matches the Rfam family "Actinobacteria sRNA Ms_IGR-5". NCBI's taxonomy places the organism in Bacteria, Bacillati, Actinomycetota, Actinomycetes, Pseudonocardiales, Pseudonocardiaceae. The record is from Rfam.
ACACGAGAAAGGAGGUGGUCCUAAGUUGAACAGCUACAGGACUCGUGAGGUGACUGUCCGCUGACAGUCAGCACAUGGACCACUCCAGUGGCGUGUGUCUGUCGGUGAAUACCAGGCAGUCACCGGCCCCCUGACGCUCCCGAGAGCCGGUCCGACUCGGGCCGUGAACGGCUGACGACGUUCGCGGAGUCGCGUCGGGGGUCUUCUCAU